CAAACAUCCAGAAGCAUCAGAAGGGAGUCUUUCUUCCUGCAUCUAUGUGGAUGGGUUUCGUCCCUUUGAAGAUCUUGCGAGCCCCUUGAAGGCAGGAGGAAGAAAUUUUGCUGCAAAGAAUACCAAUAGAGGCUGGAAUGUUUUUGUUGGCAUUUGAAGAGAACUUAUCUUCCUUCCUAAGGCCAUAAUCAUGAUGGUGUGAUCACUCACCUAGAGUCAGACAUCCUGGAAUGUGAAGUCAAGUGGGCCUUAGAAAGCAUCACUAUGAACAAAGCUGCUGGAGGUGAUGGAAUUCCAGAUGAGCUAUUUCAAAUCCUGAAAGACGAUGCUGUGAAAGUGCUACACUCAAUAUGACAGCAAAUUUGGAAAACUCAGCAGUGGCCACAGGACUGGAAAAGGUCAGUUUUCAUUCCAAUCCCAAAGAAAGGCAAUGCCAAAGAAUUCUCCAACUACCACACAAUUGCACUCAUCUUACAAAAUGCUCAAAAUUCUCCAAGCCAGGGUUCAGUAAUAUGUGAACCGUGAAUUUCCAGAUGUUCAAG
Molecule: long non-coding RNA, 542 nt
Organism: Bos taurus (domestic cattle)
Lineage: Eukaryota; Metazoa; Chordata; Mammalia; Artiodactyla; Bovidae
Source: Ensembl